ACCCAAAAAUCAAAAACUCUUCAAGAUUUCCCGUCACAUCGAAUCUUACGGCACAUGCAUGAAGCAUUAAAUAUAGGUAAAAAAACUAAUUGCACAGUUUACCUAUAAAUCACGAGACGAAUCUUUUAAGUCUAGUUACUCUAUAAUUGAACAAUGUUUACCAAAUAUAAAAUGAAAAUACUACAAUGCUAAAAUCCAAAAACUUUUUUAAUCUAAACAAUGCCUAAGAAUCGAACCCAUGACCCAGAGUAGCGUGGCCCAGCAUUUAACAGGUAAAAUAAAUAGGAAAAAUAAACAAGGCCUAAGAAUCGAACCCAUGGCCUAGAGUGGCGUGGCCCACCAUUUAACAGGUAAAAUAAAUAGGAAAAAAAACUAGAGACCAGG
RNAcentral lists this long non-coding RNA (384 nucleotides) under Sorghum bicolor (sorghum). Its description in RNAcentral is "long non-coding RNA (SBIC_LNC015404)". The record is from RNAcentral. Lineage: Eukaryota; Viridiplantae; Streptophyta; Magnoliopsida; Poales; Poaceae.